This 88-nucleotide transfer RNA is filed under the name Acidobacteriota bacterium. RNAcentral describes it as "Acidobacteria bacterium (wastewater metagenome) tRNA-Leu". It matches the Rfam family "tRNA". From Rfam's summary of the family: Transfer RNA (tRNA) molecules are approximately 80 nucleotides in length. The record is from RNAcentral. Lineage: Bacteria; Pseudomonadati; Acidobacteriota.
GCCGGCGUGGCGGAACUGGCAGACGCGCGGGACUCAAAAUCCUGUGCCCCCAAAGGGCGUGUGGGUUCGAUUCCCUCCGCCGGCACCA